Molecule: ribosomal RNA, 372 nt
Filed under: uncultured organism
Description: partial 16S ribosomal RNA
Rfam family: Bacterial small subunit ribosomal RNA
Source: RNAcentral
GGAGGGUGCAAGCGUUGUUCGGAAUUAUUGGGCGUAAAGAGCGUGUAGGCGGUCCGGUAAGUCAGAUGUGAAAGCCCUGGGCUCAACCCAGGAAGUGCAUUUGAAACUACCAGACUUGAGUACGGGAGAGGAGGGGGAAUUCCCGGUGUAGAGGUGAAAUUCGUAGAUAUCGGGAGGAAUACCAGUGGCGAAGGCGCCCUCUGGACCGAUACUGACGCUGAGACGCGAAAGCGUGGGGAGCAAACAGGAUUAGAUACCCUGGUAGUCCACGCCGUAAACGAUGAGCACUAGGUGUAGCGGGUAUUGACCCCCCUGCUGUGCCCGUAGCUAACGCAUUAAGUGCUCCGCCUGGGGACUACGGUCGCAAGACUA